Molecule: long non-coding RNA, 1363 nt
Filed under: Heterocephalus glaber (naked mole-rat)
Lineage: Eukaryota; Metazoa; Chordata; Mammalia; Rodentia; Bathyergidae
Description: lncRNA (ENSHGLG00100050851.1)
Source: RNAcentral
UUUCGAGUGAUGCCUGAUCUCAUCAAUCUAGCGGGAGAGACGGGAUAACCUGUCCGAGAGUAUAGCACCACUAAGACCACGCCGAAAAAUCACUAAAAAAAUCACCAAAAAUAACUUACAGGAAAGAGCAGGCCGCGGAACUUGGCCAGCGUUGGCGCAGUCGGUUUUGACCUUUAAGAGAGCCAAUUCUGGAAAACAACCAAACUUCUUUGAUUGAAUACUCACAUGCGUUGGAACAUGAUUAGGAGAUUAAGCAAUCAGACUUGAAAGAAGAGAUUGAAGGCAUAGUGGCACUUUGAUAUUUCCAAUGGAGCAGGAUACAAGAAUGAAGAAAUGGCACAGGAUAUACCAGGAAAAGAUUGCCACAUAGCUAGUCCGGUUUGAAUGAAAAGAUAAGUAUGAAAGUUAAAUCAACUGUUCACUCAGCAUAGUACUCAAUAUUAAGAACAGUUGUCUAUGUUCAAAAGUUUGUAGUGAGUGCAAAUUAAGUAUUAGCUAGAAAAUUUGAAAUGUAAAUCCAUCAGAGAUAAUAGAUUUAAAUUGUUCCUGGGCUGGGGAUUUAGCUCAGUGGUUCCACUACCUGCCUACAAGUGCAAGGUCCCGAGUUCGAUCCCUGGUACCAAAAAAAAAAGAAAUAGUAAAAAAAUAAAUUGUUCUUUAAAGUAGAGAUAAAUACAAAGGGGAUUAAUAGGUAUUUUAACCUCCAAAAGUAGCCUUAUUGAAAAAUCAAAGUUUGAGUAGGCAUCGAUACAGAUUAGGGGAGAAAAGAACUAGAAAAUAAUUCGUUGUAAGCAUCUCCAUUCUUCAGGGUGCCUUGAAGAGUCAUGCACUCAGAGAGGAUAAUCACUGCAUUGAAAAUGAUUAUAAUUUAUUUGUUCUACUUGCUACUUACCUGGUGACCAGAGGAGUAUCAUGCUUGGUCAGUCUUGCUAUCCAUUUACAACUAUUUUAUUAUGCUAAGAGCUCUUUCUUAAUAUAUAAUCACCAUACUUACAACGCACUAACAUAAUAAUCCCUUGCUAUAGUCAUACCAGUUUCUUUUGAACUCCUGAUUGUUUCAGAAAAAUGAACCUUCCAUUUGGAUUUAUUUUUCUUUUCUACAUAAUCUCACUAAGUUUCCCAGGCUGGUCGCCAAACUUGGGAUCUUCCUGAAUAGCUGGAAUUACAGCCAUGUGCCAUACAUAUUGCAUUCGGUUUUCAUGAUUCUUAAAAGAGAACUUUUAAAUGGAGUGAUAGUGUUUCCAUUGGAGAGAGAUGAAAUUGGAUAGAUUCUGAUUAUAUAGUCCUUGAUACUUUGGCAAAAAAAAAAUAUAUAUAUAUAUAGGCUGUACUUAGAAAAUCAGGUACAGAAUGUGAAAAUGUG